GAAUUCAUUGAAGAGUUGCUGUCUCCCCCUUUUGGGGGUUUAGUGGCAUUUGUGAAGGAGGCUGAGGCUUUGAUUGAGCGUGGACAGGCUGAGCGACUUCGAGGGGAAGAAGCCCGGGUAACUCAGCUGAUCCGUGGCUUUGGUAGUUCCUGGAAAUCAUCAGUGGAAUCUCUGAGUCAGGAUGUAAUGCGGAGUUUCACCAACUUCAGAAAUGGCACCAGUAUCAUUCAGGGAGCGCUGACCCAGCUGAUCCAGCUCUAUCAUCGCUUCCACCGGGUGCUGUCCCAGCCGCAGCUCCGAGCCCUCCCUGCCCGGGCUGAGCUCAUCAACAUUCACCACCUUAUGGUGGAGCUCAAGAAGCAUAAGCCCAACUUCUGAUGUGCCAGAAACCGCCCUGAGAUCUGCCGGUCAUCUCCAUGGACUUCUGCACCCCAUUCCAUACCCUUCUUCACCUGGGGUACCCCUUCCAGUUUUCCCCUUGCUUCCCAGGCCCUUGACAUGGCUUACCUGCCUUCACUCCCAGCACCUUGCCCAACAGGAUAAGCUGGAUCCCCUUGGCCUUCUGAAUAUCCCAGUGUCUUCAGGUUUCCCAAGACCACUUCCCUGUGGGCUUCCAAAAUGGCCUUUAUCAUUUCUCCAGUCUGUCACCCUCCUUUCCUGCUCCCAUACACCCAAGGCUUGUUUCUUCCCCUGUAAAAACCACUGCCUCAAUCUCUGGUUCACUCAACUAGUCACCAUGUCCUGAGGCAUGAAGCCUCCUCAGCUCUUGGAAUUGCUGGCAAGGGGUGACUGCCUCUGAGUCAUUGUGUUUUUCAAAGUGAUUUCUUUUCUGUAGCUUUUUGACCUAAGAUCUCAGCAAUUUGAACACUAACCUCUCCCCUCCUGGCUCAAGAAUUACUCCGAAGUCAGUCUGCAGAAAAUAAAUAUUUAGUAUGACAUGACACUUA
This 947-nucleotide unclassified non-coding RNA is filed under the name Homo sapiens (human). RNAcentral describes it as "VPS52 subunit of GARP complex (ENSG00000223618.7)". The record is from RNAcentral. Lineage: Eukaryota; Metazoa; Chordata; Mammalia; Primates; Hominidae.